AAUCAACGCUGGCGGCGUGCCUCAGACAUGCAAGUCGAACGAUUAAAGCUCUCUUCGGAGAGUGCAUAAAGUGGCGCACGGGUGAGUAACACGUAAGUAAUCUACCUCUGAGUGGGGAAUAACGUCCGGAAACGGACGCUAAUACCGCAUAAUGCAGCGGCAUCAUAAGAUGACAGUUGUUAAAGAUUUAUCGCUUAGAGAGGAGCUUGCGGCAGAUUAGCUAGUUGGUAAGGUAACGGCUUACCAAGGCUACGAUCUGUAACCGGUCUUAGAGGACGGUCGGUCACACUGACACUGAAUAACGGGUCAGACUCCUACGGGAGGCAGCAGUCGGGAAUUUUGGGCAAUGGGCGAAAGCCUGACCCAGCAACGCCGCGUGAAGGAUGAAGUAUUUCGGUAUGUAAACUUCGAAAGAAUAGGAAGAAUUAAUGACGGUACUAUUUAUAAGGUCCGGCUAACUACGUGCCAGCAGCCGCGGUAAU
RNAcentral lists this ribosomal RNA (482 nucleotides) under uncultured bacterium. RNAcentral's name for it is "bacterial SSU rRNA". It matches the Rfam family "Bacterial small subunit ribosomal RNA", at positions 32 to 524 of the family's 1533-position model. The record is from RNAcentral.